Molecule: ribosomal RNA, 496 nt
Filed under: uncultured bacterium
Lineage: Bacteria
Description: partial 16S ribosomal RNA
Rfam family: Bacterial small subunit ribosomal RNA
Source: RNAcentral
AUGAACGCUGGCGGCGUGCCUAAUACAUGCAAGUCGAGCGAACGGACGAGAAGCUUGCUUUUCUGAUGUUAGCGGCGGACGGGUUAGUAACACGUGGAUAACCUACCUAUAAGACUGGGAUAACUUCGGGAAACCGGAGCUAAUACCGGAUAAUAUUUUGAACCGCAUGGUUCAAAAGUGAAAGACGGUCUUGCUGUCACUUAUAGAUGGAUCCGCGCUGCAUUAGCUAGUUGGUAAGGUAACGGCUUACCAAGGCAACGAUGCAUAGCCGACCUGAGAGGGUGAUCGGCCACACUGGAACUGAGACACGGUCCAGACUCCUACGGGAGGCAGCAGUAGGGAAUCUUCCGCAAUGGGCGAAAGCCUGACGGAGCAACGCCGCGUGAGUGAUGAAGGUCUUCGGAUCGUAAAACUCUGUUAUUAGGGAAGAACAUAUGUGUAAGUAACUGUGCACAUCUUGACGGUACCUAAUCAGAAAGCCACGGCUAACUACGUG